RNAcentral lists this ribosomal RNA (497 nucleotides) under uncultured bacterium. RNAcentral describes it as "partial 16S ribosomal RNA". It matches the Rfam family "Bacterial small subunit ribosomal RNA", at positions 28 to 507 of the family's 1533-position model. The record is from RNAcentral.
GAUGAACGCUGGCGGCGUGCCUAAUACAUGCAAGUCGAGCGAACAGACGAGGAGCUUGCUCCUUUGACGUUAGCGGCGGACGGGUGAGUAACACGUGGCUAACCUACCUAUAAGACUGGGAUAACUUCGGGAAACCGGAGCUAAUACCGGAUAAUAUUUCGAACCGCAUGGUUCGAUAGUGAAAGAUGGCUUUGCUAUCACUUAUAGAUGGACCUGCGCCGUAUUAGCUAGUUGGUAAGGUAACGGCUUACCAAGGCAACGAUACGUAGCCGACCUGAGAGGGUGAUCGGCCACACUGGAACUGAGACACGGUCCAGACUCCUACGGGAGGCAGCAGUAGGGAAUCUUCCGCAAUGGGCGAAAGCCUGACGGAGCAACGCCGCGUGAGUGAUGAAGGUCUUCGGAUCGUAAAACUCUGUUAUUAGGGAAGAACAAACGUGUAAGUAACUGUGCACGUCUUGACGGUACCUAAUCAGAAAGCCACGGCUAACUACGUG